Molecule: ribosomal RNA, 915 nt
Filed under: uncultured organism
Description: bacterial SSU rRNA
Rfam family: Bacterial small subunit ribosomal RNA
Source: RNAcentral
CGUUAUCCGGAUUUAUUGGGUUUAAAGGGUGCGUAGACGGCACGGCAAGUCAGUGGUGAAAUCCCGCAGCUCAACUGCGGAACUGCCAUUGAAACUACCAGCCUCGAGUACGGUUGAAGUGGGUGGAAUGUGUCAUGUAGCGGUGAAAUGCAUAGAUAUGACACAGAACGCCGAUAGCGGAGGCAGCUCACUAAACCGAGACUGACGCUGAGGCACGAAAGCGUGGGUAGCGAACAGGAUUAGAUACCCUGGUAGUCCACGCCGUAAACGAUGAUAACUCGAUGUGUGCGAUAUACAGUACGCGUCCAAGCGAAAGUGAUAAGUUAUCCACCUGGGGAGUACGUCCGCAAGGAUGAAACUCAAAGGAAUUGACGGGGGCCCGCACAAGCGGAGGAGCAUGUGGUUUAAUUCGAUGAUACGCGAGGAACCUUACCUGGGCUUAAAUGCAGGAUGAUUCAUGCCGAAAGGCGUGUUCCUUCGGGCAUUUUGCAAGGUGCUGCAUGGUUGUCGUCAGCUCGUGCCGUGAGGUGUCGGGUUAAGUCCCAUAACGAGCGCAACCCUUACUCCCAGUUGCCAUCACUUCGGGUGGGGACUCUGGGGGAACUGCCUACGCAAGUAGCGAGGAAGGUGGGGAUGACGUCAAAUCAGCACGGCCCUUAUGUCCAGGGCUACACGCGUGCUACAAUGGCCUGUACAGAGGGCAGCUACCCGGCGACGGGGUCCAAUCUCAAAAACGGGUCUCAGUUCGGAUCGGAGCCUGCAACUCGGCUCCGUGAAGUUGGAUUCGCUAGUAAUCGCGUAUCAGCAACGACGCGGUGAUACGUUCCCGGGCCUUGUACACACCGCCCGUCAAGCCAUGGGAGUCGGGGGUACCUGAAGUCGAUAACCGCAAGGAGUCGCCUAGGGUAAGACCGA